GACGAACGCUGGCGGCGUGCUUAAUACAUGCAAGUCGAACGGAAAGUCCCUGCUUUUGUGGGGUGCUCGAGGGGCGAACGGGUGAGUAACACGUGAGUAACCUGCCCUUGACUUUGGGAUAACUUUAGGAAACUGUGGUUAAUACCGGAUAGGAGCUCCUGCUGCACGGUGGGGGAUGGAAAGAUUCGGCGGUUGGGGAUGGACUCGCGGCUUCUCAGCUUGUUGGUGGGGUAGGGGCUUACCAAGUCUUCGAAGGGUAGCCGGCCUGAGAGGGUGUCCGGCCACAUUGGGACUGCGAUACGGCCCAGACUCCUACGGGAGGCAGCAGUGGAGACUAUUGCACAGUGGGCGGAGGCCUGAUGCCGCAGCGCCGCGUGCGGGAUGACGGCCUUCGGGUUGUGAACCGCUUUCGCCUGUAACGAAGCGUGGGUGACGGUAAUGUGUAAGGCAGCGCCGGCUAACUACGUG
Molecule: ribosomal RNA, 468 nt
Filed under: uncultured bacterium
Lineage: Bacteria
Description: partial 16S ribosomal RNA
Rfam family: Bacterial small subunit ribosomal RNA
Source: RNAcentral